RNAcentral lists this ribosomal RNA (269 nucleotides) under uncultured archaeon. RNAcentral describes it as "partial 16S ribosomal RNA". It matches the Rfam family "Archaeal small subunit ribosomal RNA", at positions 477 to 747 of the family's 1478-position model. The record is from RNAcentral.
CAGCGCCACGAGUGGCAAUCGUGUAUUUGGCCUAAAGCGUCCGUAGCCGGAUUUGUAAAUCUUUUGUGAAAUCGUUGCGCUCAACGUAACGGCGUGCAGAAGACACUGCAGAUCUCGAGACCGGGAGGAGACAGAGGUAUUCUAGGGGGAGCGGUAAAAUGCUAUAAUCCCUGGAGGACCACCAGUGGCGAAGGCGUCUGUCCAGAACGGAUCUGACGGUGAGGGACGAAAGCCAGGGGAGCGAACCGGAUUAGAUACCCGAGUAGUCC